Harmonia axyridis is the source of this 2007-nucleotide long non-coding RNA. RefSeq lists it as uncharacterized. The record is from RefSeq and is a predicted model, not a curated record. NCBI's taxonomy places the organism in Eukaryota, Metazoa, Arthropoda, Insecta, Coleoptera, Coccinellidae. The transcript is spliced from 3 exons.
GUAUUAUUAGUAUUCUGUGGGUAUCAGUUUGGUCAAAGAUUAGGGCCUAAUCUUUGAGUUUGGUAACGUUGAUUUCCUCUGCUGGACGGGUUGCUCCUUUUUUUGACUGUCAGUUCUGUGGUUCCUUCUUGAAGGUUAUGUUAUGAUUAAAAAUAACUUUCUGUUAUAUUAUAGAUUUUAAUUUCUAAGUUUGCUUUCGCCCUUCGAUACUAUUACUCUUUUAUUGCAACACCCAUAGAUAAGGCAACACCUUCCAAACAUUGAUCAUGGAUUUGAGAGUUAUUCCAUUCAUUUUUGAUGACGAUGAAGAAAUAAAUAUAAUCAAUACAAUAAUUGGACCUGUUCUAGAGUUGGCUGAGCCUUUGCCUAAUUUGGAAAGUUAAAAUAGAGCAUUUAUUCCAAAAAAUGAAAAUUUUUAUGAAAAUACAAUUCCUCUUGACAUGGGAGAUCUAUUCAAAGAACAUUUCAGAAUAUCCCGAACAGCUUUUGAUAUCGAGGUCUUUUUCUAGAAUUUGAUUCUUUUGAAAUGCAGGGUGAAUCAGGACACUCUGAGGAUGAUAAUGAAUGGUCCGAUUUUGAAGCGUUCCCCUCAAAGUAUUUCUGGCAGAAAACAAUAUCUGGAAAAAGUAAUUUCUUUCUUAGUAGGAAAAUAAAAAAAAAUUUAUUUCAAUCAACAGAAACAUUAACCUAUAACAUUUCACGCAUUUACUUACCAUUUUGUAGUCUCUGAUGAAUUUGUGGAGUUUCUGUCACACCAUAGGUAAUAUUAUUAAAAGAAUAUCUAAAAGUUUCCAUCUUUGCUAUGUUUGAAAUUCAAAUUUCGUCCCAAAACAAAUGUCACUUGUCACUAACUCAACACGUUACCAAAAAGGAGCUUAAAAUAAAUUCGCUACCGAAAAUGGCGACCGCUCCCUAGCGGAAACUGAUCGAACGCGUUCAGCAGAAACUUUAUAGAAUAUUGACAACUGUUCCACAACUGUUGUGCUGCUGAACGCGCCCAUUAGCGAUCUAUUAUUUUGACAUGUACGCAUGCGCAUUGAGUCAGAUAUUAAGGAUUGUCUAAAUCUAAAAUACAGGCCUCUCCCUAUGGUUCAAUCAUAGCUUAGAAUAUAGAUAUUAUUAAUAAUAAUGUUCUAAGAAUCAUAAAGCGCGUUCGGCAAUAGCAUCCGAGAGCGGACGGAUAUUUUAUCCACGUGACCACAGAUAUGUCGGAUUUUACAGAUUUAUCUGUAAUAAACGAACGGUACAGAGCUUCCUGAGCUUCAGCUGUUAUGUCAGUUCUUUGAUAUACGCAUGUGGCGCCCUUCGUGGCUAAAUGAAAUGAAAUCAUUAGUAAAACAUAAUCAAUAUUCAUAAUAUACACUUUUACUGUCUUGCCUGCUGAAGAGGCGUUAGAAAUUUAUGCUUUUUUUAACUAUACUAAGAAGUUUUGAGUUGAUGUUGUUUUCAAUAUUGAAAAAUAGGGAAAAAUUCUGAAGAAGUAUAAAAAAACGGAUACCUAAUUCCUCUUAAAAAAUUAAAAGAUAUAAAAAGAAAAAUGGUCUGAUCUAGUAGAAAGUAUAUUUCCAAGGAGGAAUCACUUCUAAAAUCUCCAUUCGUUUUAUGAAGACAAAAAUGUUUCAAUGGAAGUUUAAGAAGGAAAACAGGAAUUUUCAUGUCAAAUUCAUCCAAGUGAUUUGGAAGAUGAUAUCUUUUUAUUUUCAUCAGUAAUUUAAUGGACUAUGGUGCCAAGGGAAUGUAUGAUGGGAUAACUUAUACUGCCAUAGGAUAAAUAAAUGAUAUGUAAAAUCAAUGCAGUAUUUGAUAAUAAUAAUAAUUUAUUUGCACACAAGAAAUUCAUAAAAACAUACGCCAUCAAAAGUUUACAUGGCUUGUCAAUCAAAAAAUCUUAAACUAUAAAUGAGUAGUAUUGAAAGUCAUUGUAAUGAAAACAUGAAUAUGUUUGUAGUUACAAAUUAUCAAAUAAUAUUUACAAAAAUGAUUCCUAAAUAAAUCACUCAACCUGUA